AUGGCAUUUUCAUCUGGCUCUCGGUCUGAUUUUAGCGACAUUCAUGAGCGGUUGCAUCGUUUGUCAUUGCUGCGAUGCUGCGAUUGCUGCGAUUUCAAUUUGCAUGGAAUGACGAAUGAUUUAAGGGGCGAGGCCAGUGGCGAUUGGAGUGGCGGGAGUGGGAGUGGGAGUGGCACUGCCAGAAGCAUCAGUACCAACGCUACUGAAAUGCCAGGCAACAAUCAGCAUCAGAUUCAGCACCAGGAACAGCACCACCAGCAACGGCAUCGCAAUCACAAUCAAUUUGGACAGGGCCAGCAAUCCCAGCGGCAAUAUCCCAGCACCACCUACCACUCGAACCACCCACAGGCACUGGCAAAGUCACACUCGCAGUCACAUCACCAACCAUCCCCCCAUUUACCCCCAUGGCGUUACCAUGGCCAGGACCUGUUCUCUCCGAUUCGCGGACAUUAUGGGAGUUCGUCUAGCGCCGCCGCCGCACCACCAACUCCGCGCAGCGCCUUCCCCGGCGCCCCGCUAACCGCCUCAGCCGUCGCACUCAAGGGCGCCUUACCCCAGCGGCCACCGGCCAUGACCAGUCCCGCUGCCGCUGCCGCCGGCGCCGCCUUGGCCGCUGGUGCACCGUAUCGUGGCGCCGCCAGCUGGACCCCGCAGGGUUAUGCCCCGGCCGCUGCUGCCGCCGCCGCUGCUGUUGCCCAGCAGGCUGCUUACCGUUAUACGGCGCCGUUACCGCAACCGGCGUAUGCCGCCUACACGCCGCACACGGCCACCACUCCGGCCACAACCACGUACGGUCAGCGAGUGCCGACGGCAGCCUCUCCGAGCAACACCAACUCGAGCAGCUCCUCGAACACGGGAUCGCAAAGCGGCACCCUGAGCACCAGUCUGAGCAACACGACGAACACCAACACAAACAUGGGUCCCAACGGCACGGCACAGAAUCAAAACCAGCAGGGCGGCGAGCAGUUGUCCAAGACAAACCUCUACAUUCGCGGCCUCCAGCAAGGCACAACCGACAAGGAUCUAGUUAAUAUGUGUGCACAAUACGGAACAAUUAUAUCAACCAAGGCUAUUUUAGAUAAAACAACAAACAAAUGUAAAGGUUACGGCUUCGUCGACUUCGAGCAGCCAGCCUUCGCCGAGUGCGCCGUCAAAGGAUUGCAGGGGAAGGGCGUGCAAGCUCAGAUGGCCAAACAACAGGAACAGGAUCCCACAAAUUUGUAUAUCGCAAAUUUGCCGCCUCACUACAAAGAAACUGAUCUGGAGGCAAUGCUAUCGAAAUAUGGACAAGUUGUUUCGACCAGAAUAUUGCGUGAUCAGCAGAUGAACUCAAAGGGCGUUGGCUUUGCCCGUAUGGAGAGUCGUGAGAAGUGCGAGCAAAUCAUCCAGAUGUUUAAUGGCAACACAAUACCGGGUGGCAAAGAUCCCCUCCUUGUGAAAUUCGCCGACGGUGGACCCAAAAAGAAGAAUCUCUUCAAGACACCCGAUCCGAAUGCGCGUGCGUGGCGUGAUGUCUCCGCGGAGGGUAUCCCCGUGGCCUAUGAUCCGACUUUGCAACAGAACGGAGUCAGCGUUAAUGUUGGCACACCCAUUGGAGUGCCCUACUCUCGAUUCAGCGCCCCCCAGGUGGGUGGCUAUCCAGUGGCCGGCUCCCAAUGGAUACCCGGCUAUAUGAUGACCCAGCCGAUCACUCAGGUAGAUGAUCAGUACAUGCAGAUGGCAGCUGCCCCCCAGUUGGGUGUGACCUCAUACAAGCCGGAGGCGGUCAACCAAGUGCAGCCGCGUGGCAUUUCGAUGAUGGUCAGUGGCGACACGGCCGUGCCAUAUGGAACGAUGAUGCCCCAGUUGGCCACCCUGCAGAUUGGCAACUCUAACUUUUCUCCAUCGUUACAGUAUAUUAGUCCAACUUAUCCAUAUUAUGCACCACCACCAACUAUUAUACCAACAAUGCCAAUGACAGAUUCCGAACAGGCUAGCACAGCUGCAUCACCCGACGAGGCAUACACACAGUAUCCACAUCAAGCCGCUCCCAAAUAGGUCUUCGCGAGUAUAGUUACUAAGCAGUCUAAUCACUGGUAAUCCGUACUAGUUAUAAUAUAUUAGUACCCCAACUGAGUACGAUAUAAUUUGGACGAGAGUGAGAGGAAGCGGAGGAGCCUAGAAUAGGAUGGAUGAAAUCAAGACAAGGAACAACUGAGCAGCGGAUCGGAAGGAUAUAGGAGUCAACAGCAACAACAACCUCAUGAACAAAAAGAACACCAGAAGAAACAACCAUACAGCGGCAGAAGAAUCGGGAUACUCAGCAUGCAGUUGGCGAAAUUAGAAUUUUUUGGAAAAGGUUUAGAAUUCCCAGAAUGCCGUGGCGACAAAAGAAAAAAAAAAAAAAGUAUAAUUAGGGAGGUUGGAUGAUCGAUGUGAGGCAGAAGUUUAGGGGAUACAUGAGUUUAAUGUAAGCGAUGCGAUUAAAUGGAAAAGCCAGUCUCGAAAGAGGCUCGUGCCGAAGACGCGAGUAAAACGUGAAGAAAAGCAAAGACUAAACUUAAAUAAUAGAGAAUAGUUAUACA
RNAcentral lists this unclassified non-coding RNA (2564 nucleotides) under Drosophila ananassae. RNAcentral describes it as "GF10470". The record is from RNAcentral. Lineage: Eukaryota; Metazoa; Arthropoda; Insecta; Diptera; Drosophilidae.